This 468-nucleotide ribosomal RNA is filed under the name uncultured bacterium. Its description in RNAcentral is "partial 16S ribosomal RNA". It matches the Rfam family "Bacterial small subunit ribosomal RNA", at positions 28 to 507 of the family's 1533-position model. The record is from RNAcentral.
GACGAACGCUGGCGGCGUGCUUAACACAUGCAAGUCGAACGGAAAGGCCCUGCUUUUGUGGGGUGCUCGAGUGGCGAACGGGUGAGUAACACGUGAGUAACCUGCCCUUGACUUUGGGAUAACUUCAGGAAACUGGGGCUAAUACCGGAUAUGAGCUCCUGCUGCAUGGUGGGGGUUGGAAAGUUUCGGCGGUUGGGGAUGGACUCGCGGCUUAUCAGCUUGUUGGUGGGGUAGUGGCUUACCAAGGCUUUGACGGGUAGCCGGCCUGAGAGGGUGACCGGCCACAUUGGGACUGAGAUACGGCCCAGACGCCUACGGGAGGCAGCAGUGGGGAAUAUUGCACAAUGGGCGGAAGCCUGAUGCAGCAACGCCGCGUGCGUGAUGACGGCCUUCGGGUUGUAAACCGCUUUCGCCUGUGACGAAGCGUGAGUGACGGUAAUGGGUAAAGAAGCACCGGCUAACUACGUG